UUGAGUUGUUUCAUUUCAUAUAAUACUAAGUGUUUUUUAAUGAUACAUAAGCAAAUAUAACAAUCAAAUAGAGUAAUGGAAAUAUAUAAAGUGGAAAUUUAAGUAUUGUUAUUUAUAAUUAGGUCAAUGAAGAAAAAUAAGGGUGGUUAAUUAAAAUUGAAUUUUUGAUUUUUGGAAUAAAUAAAUAAAUUUAGAAACAAGAACUAACAAGGAGAUUUACUGAAGAAUAUAUAUUUGGAAUGAAAGUGAUUCAACUCGAUGUACUACUAUCCAAGUUUCAAAGCAUGUGUACAAAAUGAUGCAGAGAUAUAGUCCAGUCAAAAUUUUGUAAAAUAACAUAAAUGUGCAGUCUCAAUUUGGAUCCGUUGAAUCAAACUUUCAUCUAGAGUCAUAUUUUGAAUUGAGCUAAUCUGUCUCUGCACAAAUUGAAUGGAUUUAAGUAUGGUUGCUAAGAUAGAGGUAUAUGAAAUAGAGUAAAUUAAGCAUGUGAUCACCGGCACA
This 501-nucleotide long non-coding RNA is filed under the name Trifolium pratense (red clover). RNAcentral describes it as "long non-coding RNA (TPRA_LNC006111)". The record is from RNAcentral. Lineage: Eukaryota; Viridiplantae; Streptophyta; Magnoliopsida; Fabales; Fabaceae.